GUGGUAAGUUGUUUUGUGUUUGUUUUUGUCUUUGCCUGUGGACCAGGUAUGGAAAAGGAUCUCAGCAAACACUUUCUACAUGCUCCAUAUAAGCAUCGUUGGAGCAACUCUGUCACAAGAGAAGCAGUCCAGCCCCCUCUACCCAAGGAGCAAGAUGAAUCUGAUGUGCAGCCACACUUGUGGAUGUGGGUAAACCCCAACCUGGUUUGCCCCAUAACAGGAUACCCUAAUAAGGGAGUCCCAGGAAAACAAGUGCAUUUGGUAGUUCCUGCACCCAAGGCAGCUGUUAGAAAACCUACUUCAGUAAAACCAAGGCCCCCAGUAGCUGCUCCCCUACAAACUUCCUCUGGACAAUGUGUUUCAGUGCCCCUAGUAACUGCUGCACCCAAGGUCUCAACUAGAAAAUAUAGUUCAGUAAAGGCAGUGGCUCUCGUCACUGCCCUGCAGACUUCUCCUUUGGCCUCUGUUUCCAUACCCCCGUUGGCUGCUUCUGGUGCUGUGACUCCGCAGGCUUCCACAGUCAAGAAUGUUCCCAGAAAACCAGUGUUCCCUGUAUUAUUGGCAGCUGUUGCACCCAAGGCUUCUACUCCAGUAAAACUUGUACCUCCAGUAGCUGCUGCAUCCAAGGCUUCCAACAGAAAACAUGCUUCAGUAAAGACUGUGCCCCCAGUAGCUGACACCAUGCAGGUUUGCACACAGACACCUGGAAAAAACAUGUCCCUGGAAGCUGCAGCACUUGUGGACUCCUAUCAAAAGCCAGUCUUAAUUGACUCCAAGCAACUCUGUCCCAAGGAGGAGGUACUACUGUGCUCAAGCAAAGCAAAGGUAUGUUAGAUGGGCUUCAUGUGCACUGAAUUUCUAUGUGGCUUACUGUUAUUUUGGAGGCUGCUGGCUCCUGAUCUUCUCACUAGCAGCAGCAUCAGAGGAGCUAGUGGUAGCACAGCUGUACAAUUGAGAGGGAGUGAACAAUAGGAGACUAAGCUCCUGCAGUAAGAAUCUCUUGCUCUUAAAGAGCAGUCU
Molecule: long non-coding RNA, 1020 nt
Filed under: Chrysemys picta bellii (western painted turtle)
Lineage: Eukaryota; Metazoa; Chordata; Testudines; Emydidae
Description: lncRNA (ENSCPBG00000004360.1)
Source: RNAcentral